GUGGGGAAUAUUGGACAAUGGGCGAAAGCCUGAUCCAGCCAUGCCGCGUGUGUGAAGAAGGUCUUCGGAUUGUAAAGCACUUUAAGUUGGGAGGAAGGGCAGUAAGUUAAUACCUUGCUGUUUUGACGUUACCAACAGAAUAAGCACCGGCUAACUUCGUGCCAGCAGCCGCGGUAAUACGAAGGGUGCAAGCGUUAAUCGGAAUUACUGGGCGUAAAGCGCGCGUAGGUGGUUCAGCAAGGUGAAGGUGAAAUCCCCGGGCUCAACCUGGGAACUGCCUCCAAAACUACUGAGCUGGAGUACGGUAGAGGGUAGUGGAAUUUCCUGUGUAGCGGUGAAAUGCGUAGAUAUAGGAAGGAACACCAGUGGCGAAGGCGACUACCUGGACUGAUACUGACACUGAGGUGCGAAAGCGUGGGGAGCAAACAGGAUUAGAUACCCUUGUAGUCC
Molecule: ribosomal RNA, 450 nt
Filed under: uncultured bacterium
Lineage: Bacteria
Description: bacterial SSU rRNA
Rfam family: Bacterial small subunit ribosomal RNA
Source: RNAcentral